Non-coding RNA from Sus scrofa (pig), 1125 nucleotides. The record is from RefSeq and is a predicted model, not a curated record. NCBI's taxonomy places the organism in Eukaryota, Metazoa, Chordata, Mammalia, Artiodactyla, Suidae.
UUUUGUGGCUGAGCAUGCAGCAGCUUCAUGUAAGAUCUCAGUUCCUAGACCAGGGAUGGAACCCAGGCUGAAGUCGAAAUCACCAAGUCCUAGCCGCUAGGCCACCAGGGAACUCCCCAUUGUGUUAGUUUUGAUUUCAGAGAGUUAGAACAGUAAAUGGCCAACAUUGUAUCCCCAUCUUUCAGAGAACGAAACCGAGGCUCAGAGAGGAUAAGGAUGGCAUGAGCAGAGAGCUUCAUCACGCAGGUGGCCAGUGGUAGACCUUGGAUUUGGCACCAGAUCUAACGGACUCCAAGGCGUAAUGUCUUCUCCACACACAACCUCAUGUGACAUCUCAGAGAUGAAAACCUUUCAGCCUUACACUCUUCAUAACUCCUAAAACUGUUGACUCUGAAUUUUCACAAUCUCCUGAGGUUACAGCUGUUUAAAUGAAUGGUUUUAAUCCUGUAGGACUCAAUGAAAUUUAUAGACAAUAUCACCUACCUCUACUCAUCAUCAGCCCAGACCAGGGAUGGAACAUCCGUAAUGCCCCAACUUUAUUCAUUUAUUUAUUUAUUUACUUACUUAUUUGGCCACACCUGCAGCAUGCAGAAGUUCCCACACUAGGGCUGGAACCCACACCACAGCAGUGACAACACCGGAUCCUUAACUGCCAGGCAGCCAGGGAACUCCUUUAUAAUGCCCCAACUUUAGUAUGAAGGAUAAAUAAAAGGAAACGAUAAUAGCCUAUAUACACACAUUUAUUUCAGUGUGUAAACUCUUGAGUGCAGCCUCAGGGAAAUGUAAACAAAGUAGCAGUUGCUUUUGACUUUGUUAAUACUGCAGCCAUGAACACAGCCUGACCCAGCCCGGUGGACAUGGUGACGUAACAAGCACAUAUCCAGGGUUACUAUCGGUGACAGGAUUUUCCAAAGUGAACAAUUUUCAGUCUGAACAAAAUGUAGUCUUCUCUCAGUUAGCGUGAUGAUUGCCAGGCCUUGAAAAUUCAGUGCAUUUGAAAGUUACAGGAGGGAGUUCCCUGGUGACCUCGCAGUAAAGGAUCCUACUGCUGUGGUAUGAGUUUGAUCCCUGGCCCAGGAACUUCCAUAUGCCGAAGGUGUGGCAAAAAAAAAAAAAAAAAAAAAA